UCGCGGCCUAUCAGCUUGUUGGUGGGGUAAUGGCCUACCUAGGCGACGACGGGUAACCGGCCUGAGAGGGCGACCGGUCACACUGGGACUGAGACACGGCCCAGACUCCUACGGGAGGCAGCAGUGGGGAAUAUUGCGCAAUGGGCGAAAGCCUGACGCAGCAACGCCGCGUGAGGGAUGAAGUACGUCGAGAUGUAAACCUCUUUCAGCAGGGACGAAGCGAAAGUGACGGUACCUGCAGAAGAAGCGCCGGCUAACUACGUGCCAGCAGCCGCGGUAAUACGUAGGGCGCAAGCGUUGUCCGGAUUUAUUGGGCGUAAAGGGCUCGUAGGCGGUCUGUCACGUCGGAUGUGAAAACUCAGUGCUUAACACUGGGCCUGCAUUCGAUACGGGCAGACUAGAGUUCGGUAGGGGAGACUGGAACUCCUGGUGUAGCGGUGGAAUGCGCAGAUAUCAGGAAGAACACCGAUGGCGAAGGCAGGUCUCUGGGCCGAUACUGACGCUGAGGAGCGAAAGCGUGGGGAGCGAACAGGAUUAGAUACCCUGGUAGUCCACGCCGUAAACGGUGGGCACUAGGUGUGGGAAACUAUCUACGUUUUCCGCGCCGCAGCUAACGCAUUAAGUGCCCCGCCUGGGGAGUACGG
RNAcentral lists this ribosomal RNA (644 nucleotides) under uncultured Actinomycetes bacterium. RNAcentral describes it as "bacterial SSU rRNA". It matches the Rfam family "Bacterial small subunit ribosomal RNA", at positions 231 to 885 of the family's 1533-position model. Lineage: Bacteria; Bacillati; Actinomycetota; Actinomycetes. The record is from RNAcentral.